AACGUAGGACGCGAGCGUUAUCCGGAGUUACUGGGCGUAAAGCGCGGGCAGGCGGUCUGACAAGUCUGAUGUGAAAUCUCCGGGCUUAACCGGGAGAGGCCAUUGGAAACUGACAGGCUGGAGGGCAGUAGAGGUAGGCGGAAUUCCGGGUGGAGUGGUGAAAUGCGUAGAGAUCCGGAGGAAGACCGGUGGCGAAGGCGGUCUGCUGGGCAGUUUCUGACACUGAUGCGCGACAGCGUGGGGAGCAAACAGG
This 253-nucleotide ribosomal RNA is filed under the name uncultured bacterium. RNAcentral describes it as "partial 16S ribosomal RNA". It matches the Rfam family "Bacterial small subunit ribosomal RNA", at positions 524 to 776 of the family's 1533-position model. The record is from RNAcentral.